RNAcentral lists this ribosomal RNA (515 nucleotides) under uncultured bacterium. RNAcentral's name for it is "partial 16S ribosomal RNA". It matches the Rfam family "Bacterial small subunit ribosomal RNA", at positions 28 to 523 of the family's 1533-position model. The record is from RNAcentral.
GAUGAACGCUGGCGGCGUGCCUAAUACAUGCAAGUCGAGCGAAUGGAUUAAGAGCUUGCUCUUAUGAAGUUAGCGGCGGACGGGUGAGUAACACGUGGGUAACCUGCCCAUAAGACUGGGAUAACUCCGGGAAACCGGGGCUAAUACCGGAUAACAUUUUGAACCGCAUGGUUCGAAAUUGAAAGGCGGCUUCGGCUGUCACUUAUGGAUGGACCCGCGUCGCAUUAGCUAGUUGGUGAGGUAACGGCUGACCAAGGCAACGAUGCGUAGCCGACCUGAGAGGGUGAUCGGCCACCCUGGGACUGAGACACGGCCCAGACGCCUACGGGAGGCAGCAGUAGGGAAUCUUCCGCAAUGGACGAAAGUCUGACGGAGCAACGCCGCGUGAGUGAUGAAGGCUUUCGGGUCGUAAAACUCUGUUGUUAGGGAAGAACAAGUGCUAGUUGAAUAAGCUGGCACCUUGACGGUACCUAACCAGAAAGCCACGGCUAACUACGUGCCAGCAGCCGCCGUAA